CCUACGGGUGGCAGCAGUGGGGAAUAUUGGACAAUGGGCGAAAGCCUGAUCCAGCCAUGCCGCGUGUGUGAAGAAGGCCUUCGGGUUGUAAAGCACUUUCAGUGGGGAAGAAAGCCUUGGGGCUAAUACCCUCGAGGAAGGACAUCACCCACAGAAGAAGCACCGGCUAACUCCGUGCCAGCAGCCGCGGUAAUACGGAGGGUGCGAGCGUUAAUCGGAAUUACUGGGCGUAAAGCGCGCGUAGGCGGUCUGAUAAGCCGGUUGUGAAAGCCCCGGGCUCAACCUGGGAACGGCAUCCGGAACUGUCAGGCUAGAGUGCAGUAGAGGAAGGUAGAAUUCCCGGUGUAGCGGUGAAAUGCGUAGAGAUCGGGAGGAACACCAGUGGCGAAGGCGGCCUUCUGGACCGACACUGACGCUGAGGUGCGAAAGCGUGGGUAGCAAACAGGAUUAGAUACCCCUGUAGUC
Molecule: ribosomal RNA, 465 nt
Filed under: Vreelandella stevensii
Lineage: Bacteria; Pseudomonadati; Pseudomonadota; Gammaproteobacteria; Oceanospirillales; Halomonadaceae
Description: partial 16S ribosomal RNA
Rfam family: Bacterial small subunit ribosomal RNA
Source: RNAcentral